ACAUGCGCAAAGAACAUACCCAGUUGCAAUUAACAUCACCUCACUGGACAUAACAAUGGACAUUGACUUUCACUGGGUGUAACCAGUCACCAACGUACAUCACCAACUUGGAACUGUAUUUAAAUUGCUAGUCCUGCCACAUUGAAGAGUUUUGCUUCAAAGACAUCGGUGAGACUGACCACCUUGCUGUCCAUCCCUGGACUGACUCCACCAUUCCCUGACAUCCAGCUAUCAGCUGGUGAGGACCACCAGACAAGGACAAUAAGAGAAGUCACAUGGCAUCAGAGAUGUUCUGUGAUGUCCUUACAAAUCACCUAUUACUUGUAUUUUGCUGAUUUUGUGUAAAACUGGGGAGAAGGUAAGAGAAGAACAAACUAGGCUGGAGAUCACAUGGAAACUCUGAAACUCAAGACCAGAUGAAUCUGAAAUGGAAGGGAGGCAGAAAGAAUCAAGAGGGAAAGCAUGGACAAUGCACACUGAGACCCCAAAGACUGCGAAUCUUCUUUCCUUUUGCAUUUGCGUCUAUUUUCACAGACGAGGGUGAGGGCCUUAAUGCAUUUGCUGCUGCAAUUUUAGGUUUUAGAAUGUUUUGAACAAUAUGCUUCCAAUCACGCCAAUAAUUAGGGGACCCUCAUUAUCGAGUGUUAUGCCUCUUACGAUGUUACUGGCAGAGAGGGGACAUUGGCUUCACCUUGUGAGGCUUGGUUUUGUGUGACUGGCACAGAAACAGGCAUUGUUCACCUCAAUUUCUCCCCUCUUUUUCCAGGAUCCUAUUAAACCUCUUUGUUAGGAGACCCAGCUGCUUGUUUUCUCUCAAGAUAAUGACUGAAAAAUGCGCUUUUAAAAAAUCACGGGGAACAUUAUUUCUGGAAGGUCUGUCUCUUCAUCUUUUUUGCUGUCAUCUGGCUGAUGAUGAUUUUCAAUAAUCCCAUGCUAAUAAAAAUUUAUUUGAACACA
Molecule: long non-coding RNA, 957 nt
Organism: Marmota flaviventris (yellow-bellied marmot)
Lineage: Eukaryota; Metazoa; Chordata; Mammalia; Rodentia; Sciuridae
Source: RefSeq, a predicted model, not a curated record